GGGGCUGUAGGGUAGCCUGGACCAUCCUAUUACGUUCGGGACGUAGUGACCUGAGUUCGAAUCUCAGCAGCCCCA
RNAcentral lists this transfer RNA (75 nucleotides) under Methanocorpusculum sp. Its description in RNAcentral is "tRNA-Pro". It matches the Rfam family "tRNA". Rfam says of the family: Transfer RNA (tRNA) molecules are approximately 80 nucleotides in length. The record is from RNAcentral. Lineage: Archaea; Methanobacteriati; Methanobacteriota; Methanomicrobia; Methanomicrobiales; Methanocorpusculaceae.